Equus caballus (horse) is the source of this 889-nucleotide long non-coding RNA. RefSeq lists it as uncharacterized. The record is from RefSeq and is a predicted model, not a curated record. NCBI's taxonomy places the organism in Eukaryota, Metazoa, Chordata, Mammalia, Perissodactyla, Equidae.
GGCAUGCCGCCAGGCAGGGUCACGGGCCCGUUUUGCAGAGAAGGAAGUUCAGGGAUAAUGAGGCAGAAACAAGUGUUAACCUGAGUGCACAGCCCAGACCAGCCAUCCUCCCCCCUGGCCGGCUGCUCCUUCUUCUCUCCUGGGCCCCCAGCGGCCACUCUCACCCUGCCACACCUCGCUUACAAUCUGCCCAUGGCUUCCUACUUAACGGGGAUCCAAUUCAAACUCUUGGCUGAGCCAGAAAAAGCCGUUAGUGAUGUUUCUUCCUCCCAUGGGACUGCGUCUCGGCCCCUCUCCCACUCAGGACCGGACACUGAGGGUGUCUCACCCAUCCCACCUUAGCUCCGACCGGGGUCUGUGCCGCACUCGACCCGCGAUGCCCAGCCUCGCACUGUGCCUGCCACACGGUGGGGGCCGCAUGGCUGAAUGAAUGAGUGAGUGAACGAGUGGCCACGGUCUCGCCAUGGUCUCACCACAGUCCGAGCAGCCAGAACUUGUUUUUAUCAGUAGUUCAAGACAACUAUUUGCAAAUCCCUACAGACUUCAUUUAAAAACGUAGCUGGAGUACAAGAAUGGCACAAGGAACACGGGGAAAAUUGGCAUUAUUCCACAGUUUAUUUAAUUCGCUCCCCCUGCUGGCAUUAAUUUAACUCGUCUGCAUGGCUGAAGGAAGGACCGAGAUGAAAUAUUAACCUCAAAGGCGCGCUGGGACAGAUAACGGAGCGGCGCCUGCGAGCGCGAGCGGGCAGAUGAAAGAGGAAGGCGCUGCCGCGGCCCCAGGAAGAUUAAGGCGGCGUGCGGGGUAACAGGAGCCUUUUUCUAAUGGUUCAUUUUCUUUCUCUUUAGUCCAAAGUGAUAAAAGCAAAUAAAUUUGUGUUUAGAAUCACAA